This 490-nucleotide ribosomal RNA is filed under the name Fusarium oxysporum. RNAcentral's name for it is "eukaryotic LSU rRNA". It matches the Rfam family "Eukaryotic large subunit ribosomal RNA", at positions 112 to 625 of the family's 3401-position model. The record is from RNAcentral. Lineage: Eukaryota; Fungi; Ascomycota; Sordariomycetes; Hypocreales; Nectriaceae.
AAUUUGAAAUCUGGCUCUCGGGCCCGAGUUGUAAUUUGUAGAGGAUACUUUUGAUGCGGUGCCUUCCGAGUUCCCUGGAACGGGACGCCAUAGAGGGUGAGAGCCCCGUCUGGUUGGAUGCCAAAUCUCUGUAAAGUUCCUUCAACGAGUCGAGUAGUUUGGGAAUGCUGCUCUAAAUGGGAGGUAUAUGUCUUCUAAAGCUAAAUACCGGCCAGAGACCGAUAGCGCACAAGUAGAGUGAUCGAAAGAUGAAAAGCACUUUGAAAAGAGAGUUAAAAAGUACGUGAAAUUGUUGAAAGGGAAGCGUUUAUGACCAGACUUGGGCUUGGUUAAUCAUCUGGGGUUCUCCCCAGUGCACUUUUCCAGUCCAGGCCAGCAUCAGUUUUCCCCGGGGGAUAAAGGCGGCGGGAAUGUGGCUCUCUUCGGGGAGUGUUAUAGCCCACCGUGUAAUACCCUGGGGGGGACUGAGGUUCGCGCAUCUGCAAGGAUG